This 218-nucleotide ribosomal RNA is filed under the name uncultured bacterium. RNAcentral describes it as "partial 16S ribosomal RNA". It matches the Rfam family "Bacterial small subunit ribosomal RNA", at positions 28 to 222 of the family's 1533-position model. The record is from RNAcentral.
GACGAACGCUGGCGGCGUGCCUAAUACAUGCAAGUCGAACGAACUCUGGUAUUGAUUGGUGCUUGCAUCAUGAUUUACAUUUGAGUGAGUGGCGAACUGGUGAGGUAACACGUGGGAAACCUGCCCAGAAGCGGGGGAUAACACCUGGAAAUAGAGUGCUAAUACCGCAUAACAACUUGGACCGCAUGGUCCGAGCUUGAAAGAUGGCUUCGGCUAUC